CCGCCGGCGACCGGCGCACGGGUGAGUAACACGUAUGCAACCUGGCCGUGACAGAUGGAUAACCGGGAGAAAUCCCGCCUAAUACAACAUAAUGCCGGGAGGGGACAUCCCCUGCCGGUCAAAGGGGGCGACCCCGGUCAUGGAUGGGCAUGCGGCGCAUUAGGUAGUUGGUGGGGCAACGGCCCACCAAGCCGACGAUGCGUAGGGGUUCUGAGAGGAAGGUCCCCCGCAUUGGAACUGAGACACGGUCCAAACUCCUACGGAAGGCAGCAG
This 273-nucleotide ribosomal RNA is filed under the name uncultured bacterium. RNAcentral's name for it is "partial 16S ribosomal RNA". It matches the Rfam family "Bacterial small subunit ribosomal RNA", at positions 85 to 354 of the family's 1533-position model. The record is from RNAcentral.